UGGCCGAGCAGCUUUCUGGUCGGCGAUCUUUGGCCGAGCAGCUCUCCGUUCGGCACUCUUUGGCCGAGCAACUUUCCGGCUGGUGCUCUUCGGCCGAGCGCCUCCGUGAAUGUAUGGCUUAGGGUUCUUCCCCCAACAAAAUGCUUUGCCUUCUUUAAAAUGUUUUGCCUCUAAGUCUAAAAAUUAUAAAUAUGUGAUUAAAAUUUAUGUAAUAUCUUCCCACUUUGAUCAAGCAUGUUUCCUUUGUCAAAUGUCGGCAAGAUGACAGUAGGGUUGACAUGGAGUGCAGAAGAUUACUGUAGCCAAAAGUCACUGUUACUACUUAGAUAUCUCUUUGUUAAUACACGAGCAAUGGUAUAUGACUCCCAUAAAGUGCACAUAAACAAUUCUCUUGGCAGGUAACAAGGAAAAAUUGAUGCAAUUCACGUACAUCACCAUUUUUGUUAUUAAUAUAUUCUCUUCAAGGUUACCCAACCUGCAAGUAGACUUAAGACUGACAUGUCAACUUGACUGACAUAUUACAAUCAUGCAAGUUGCUAAUAACAAAUCCUGCAAGAAACAAGCAAGUGGCUCGCAUCCAUCACCCUACUCGGGCAACCACAAAAAAUAAACUAUUUAAAUCCUUGCAUGGAUGCAAAGUUUCUUUUAUAAAUAUAAAACUUAGAUUCUCAUAAAAUCUGCAAAUCUGAUGUCAAGUAAUUUACUCAAUCAGCUUAGAUAUAGCGGUAUCUAAACCAUGCUUGACUUGGUUUCAGCAACUCCACCCUUUGUUUUCAAGGCAUGAAGCAUGCGACCAUCCUCGAGCACUCUAGAUAAUUUCAAGAGAAAUUAUUGCAUGCACAUGGCGAUGCUACUGCACACCACUAAUCGCCGAAAUGCACUUGCAUUGAUUCCAUUCAUCCCACACUCAUUUGAGUGAUUGGCCCACACCUAUGCACC
RNAcentral lists this long non-coding RNA (939 nucleotides) under Phoenix dactylifera (date palm). RNAcentral's name for it is "long non-coding RNA (PDAC_LNC000629)". Lineage: Eukaryota; Viridiplantae; Streptophyta; Magnoliopsida; Arecales; Arecaceae. The record is from RNAcentral.